CUAGUAUCGCGAGAUCAGGAAGGUGGCCGAGUGUGUCGCCGCGGCCAUCAGGCACUUCUCCUUCCUGCCCUUGUAUGAAGAAGGAUGUGUUUGCUUCCCCUUGUGCCAUGAUUGUAAAUUUCCUGAGGCCUCCUCAGCCCUGCAGAACUGGGGUUAUAGCCAUGUGACUGAUCUUCGUCCAAGAAUAUGUAAAGAAAAAGUGUUGAGUUGGCUUUUAGGGCUAGAGCAAUGUAUCUUAGGCUCACUUAAGGAAGCUGUAGAGAUGAGCCCAAGGAGGGAAACCAGAAGAGCCCCCCAGGCUCACCAGUUGUUUGUUGGCUCCCUACAAACAUGUCAUUCAAGUGGCUAAUCUUACAACAGCACAAAUUCAUCUAACCAGAAAGAGAAGAGGAGGCUCCAAAGGCACUUGACUACUGAGCAUCACCCUGGACGUGUACAAGUCUGCGUCCUUAUUGUUUUCUUCAUUGGGCCGAACUUUCUGGUCCUCAUCCAACAGCUCUUCUAUCACGUGUUCGAAAGUGUCAGCCAAUGAUGUCAAGCCUCUUGAACCUGCCUUGGGCCCAUUCACGCUCUCCAGAGUCCCAUGGGUCCGCACACCUGGAGAUACUCUAUUAUAGCAAAGAAGAAAGAUAAUUUCAUUGAGCCAUCCUGUUUUACAGGAAAUUCUGCAAGUGGCAACGUGGGUCCAUUCCGUGUGUGUCACUAGAGCUGGCGCAAGCCCAUGGCCAUGGUGAGGCAGCGUUUCCACUGGAACUAAUCUGAUACCUGCACCAGCUCUUGCAACUGUGCAGUGUUCCCACUGCAAACUACGGAUGGGGUAAAAGACUGCUCACCUCCUAUUUCUCAUCUAAUCUCACACACUCUGUUUGAUGAGGCUAUGGAGAAACAGGUCUUCUCAUACACUAAAGGUGGGAGUACAAACAAUUCAAGCCCUGUGCAGGACAAUUAGGCAAUACCUAUCAAAAUUAUACAUGAUUUUUCCUGCUGACCCAGCAAUUCCACUUCUGGGAAUAAUUGACAGAUAUAGGUGCAUAUGUACAAAAUGAUGGAAAGCUCUCUGGUAUAUAUUAGUAAGUGAUAAAACAAGGUGUAAAAUAGUGUAUAUAUGGCUACUACCUUUUGUUUUAAAAAUGGGGGAAAAUGGUGGAGCUUGCGGUGAGCCGAGAUCGUGCCACUGCACUCCAGCCUGGGCGACAGAGCGAGACUCCGUCUCAAAAAAAAAACAGGGUGGGGUGGGGGGGAAAUAAUAGUACAUACUCAUAUUUACCUGUAUCUAUAUAAAACACACUAUCAAGGAUUCACAAGAAACUAAUACAAAUGAUCACCUUAUAGAUGGUAUGUAUUGGGGGAUACUGAGGUGAGCAGGGUAUAAGUGGGGCAAGACUUUUCAGUGUAAACUUCUUUUAAAUUUUAUUUUGAUUUUUGAAUAAUGUAAAUUAACUGUCAAAUAAUUAAAUUAAAAAUAACCAAUUUAUUAACAAAA
RNAcentral lists this unclassified non-coding RNA (1483 nucleotides) under Homo sapiens (human). Its description in RNAcentral is "brain derived neurotrophic factor antisense RNA variant". The record is from RNAcentral. Lineage: Eukaryota; Metazoa; Chordata; Mammalia; Primates; Hominidae.